This 258-nucleotide unclassified non-coding RNA is filed under the name uncultured fungus. Its description in RNAcentral is "sequence contains ITS1". Lineage: Eukaryota; Fungi. The record is from RNAcentral.
CUGUUCGAGUAAGGUAAUUCUCGGGAGUUUAGAUUUUUAUGUCGCGUCUCAAGGGAUAUUCGGAUACGGCUACAGCGCGCAUCAAAAACUCUCCCUACCCAGCAGCUUUUCCCCAUCUCCUUAUGGUCGCCGAGGGCUUGAGGGCCUCUCGCCCGAAGAGAAAUGAGAUGUUCAUGCCUGCCUCUCUCAUACCGAGCCACCGAGGGUAAACCAAGCUCACAUCUUUAAAUCUUACAGUGCGCAGAUAAUGUUUCUUUG